Molecule: ribosomal RNA, 993 nt
Filed under: Linnemannia schmuckeri
Lineage: Eukaryota; Fungi; Mortierellomycota; Mortierellomycetes; Mortierellales; Mortierellaceae
Description: LSU rRNA
Rfam family: Eukaryotic large subunit ribosomal RNA
Source: RNAcentral
CUAGCAUAUCAUAAGCGGAGGAAAAGAAACUAACAAGGAUUCCCUAGUAACGCGAGUGAAGCGGGAUGAGCUCAAAUUUAAAAUCUGGCUGGCUUACUAGUCCGAAUUGUAGUUUAUAGAAGCGUUUUCGGUGGCAGCCUGGGUAUAAAUCCUUUGGAAUAGGGUAUCAUAGAGGGUGAGAAUCCCGUCUUUGACUCAGUGCAUGCUACUAUGUGAUACGUUUUCAAAGAGUCGAGUUGUUUGGGAAUGCAGCUCAAAAUGGGUGGUAAAUUUCAUCUAAAGCUAAAUAUUGGCGAGAGACCGAUAGCGAACAAGUACCGUGAGGGAAAGAUGAAAAGAACUUUGAAAAGAGAGUUAAACAGUGCGUGAAAUUGUUGAAAGGGAAACGUUUGACACCAGUUAUGCGGGUGGAAAAUCAGUCUUUUGCAAUGGGGAGUUGUGGGCGUUCAGACCGCAAGGCUGGCGUUUGCUUCAUCUUUGUUGUAAGUGAUGCACUUUUUCAUUUGCAGGUCAACAUCAGUUUGCUUUGCUGGACAAAACCCCAAGGGAAGGUGGCAGCUUAGGCUGUGUUAUAGCCCUGGGGCGAUACAGUGGAGUGGACUGAGGUUUCGCAGUGUGUGCUCUCGGGCAAGGCUGACUGGGUGCUAUGGGAUCGUUCGGCGUACAAUGCAUGCAUUUUGCGUCGUGUCUUUUUCAUACUCGCUCAACUCGGCUCUUCCACGCUUAGGAUGUUGACUUAAUGGUUUUAAACGACCCGUCUUGAAACACGGACCAAGGAGUCUAACAUAUAUGCAAGUGUUUGGGUGGCAAACCCAUGCGCGUAAUGAAAGUGAACGUAGGUGCGAUCCGCAAGGUGCAGCAUCGACCGAUCUUGAUAUUUUUGGAUAGAUUUGAGUAAGAGCAUAUAUGCUGGGACCCGAAAGAUGGUGAACUAUGCCUGAAUAGGGUGAAGCCAGAGGAAACUCUGGUGGAGGCUCGUAGCGAUUCUGACGU